UACGUAGGGUGCAAGCGUUAAUCGGAAUUACUGGGCGUAAAGCGUGCGCAGGCGGUUGUGCAAGACAGAUGUGAAAUCCCCGGGCUUAACCUGGGAACUGCAUUUGUGACUGCAUGGCUGGAGUGCGGCAGAGGGGGAUGGAAUUCCGCGUGUAGCAGUGAAAUGCGUAGAUAUGCGGAGGAACACCGAUGGCGAAGGCAAUCCCCUGGGCCUGCACUGACGCUGAUGCGCGAAAGCUAGGGUAGCAAACGGG
Molecule: ribosomal RNA, 253 nt
Filed under: uncultured bacterium
Lineage: Bacteria
Description: partial 16S ribosomal RNA
Rfam family: Bacterial small subunit ribosomal RNA
Source: RNAcentral